Molecule: long non-coding RNA, 898 nt
Organism: Notolabrus celidotus (New Zealand spotty)
Lineage: Eukaryota; Metazoa; Chordata; Actinopteri; Labriformes; Labridae
Exons: 3
Source: RefSeq, a predicted model, not a curated record
GGAUCAAAAUAAAGACAUAGUUGAUGGAAAAACAAAAAAAGCAUGGUUUAUACUUCAGCAUUGACCCUACGCAGCAGUGACCAACCCGGACGUGAGCACUUCAAGAUACGGCAUCAAUUCGAUGCAGAACUAUACCAGGUUUAAAGCCUCUGUCCUCCUCUUACCUCUGAGCAGCAUCAACCAGCAGCUUCCUUUGUUGUUCAGCAACAACAGAAAAGAGGCGUGGCAGCACCUUACAGUUGUUCCUGGUUACAGAGUGAAAGAAACGACGCGCCCGUCCAGCACUGUGGUAACGGUUCUCCACCUGUAACACGGGUUGAUUGGGGGUGAACCAUUAGACCAAACUAGGGGGACUAACUCAGAUGGAAAUACUUGUAAAGAGAUAGGAAAGGACUGGAGGAGGGAGCAGAGGGGCGCUGCUGGACCAGGUGGAGAGCGAAGAGGUCAGCAUCUGUCUCAGUGUUGCCAGUGGAAACACAUUGAUGCUGUUGUGGUACCGAAGCAAUGCUGCCUGCUGCACUGCUAUUUCCUCACACUCUGAAGCUAGCCUGUUCACACAGCGCCGGUUAGUGUGACUGGAAUCACCCGCCGACUGGCUAGGAAGCUCAGUUUUCUCAUGGCCAAGUUUCAGCGUGCGGUGCAGCUCCUCCAUCCGCUCUAUGGCCUGGCUAUAGACGAGGUUAGCUGCUUGGAUUCCCAUCGUGAGGCUUUCCAACCUCGGGCCCCAACCUCCCCAACUCUCGCCUCCCCGCUGUCCCAGAACGGCUCAAAGAACUCAACCUGAAGAAACACACACAAACAUAAACUGACUGAAUCAACCACGCUCUCUUUAUAUAGACUACUGGAGCUCUGUAAUGUGUACUCUUAUAUUUCUAUAAUACAAAUAAAAUGAAAUCAA